This 76-nucleotide transfer RNA is filed under the name Tissierellia bacterium. RNAcentral describes it as "tRNA-Thr". It matches the Rfam family "tRNA". From Rfam's summary of the family: Transfer RNA (tRNA) molecules are approximately 80 nucleotides in length. Lineage: Bacteria; Bacillati; Bacillota; Tissierellia. The record is from RNAcentral.
GCUCUCUUAGCUCAGUAGGUAGAGCGCCACCAUGGUAAGGUGGAGGUCGCGGGUUCGAUUCCCGCAGUGAGCUCCA